RNAcentral lists this ribosomal RNA (440 nucleotides) under uncultured bacterium. Its description in RNAcentral is "bacterial SSU rRNA". It matches the Rfam family "Bacterial small subunit ribosomal RNA", at positions 338 to 795 of the family's 1533-position model. The record is from RNAcentral.
CCUANGGGUGGCAGCAGUGGGGAAUUUUGCGCAAUGGGGGAAACCCUGACGCAGCGACGCCGCGUGGAGGAUGAAGGUCUUCGGAUUGUAAACUCCUUUUGUCGGGGAAGAUAAUGACGGUACCCGAUGAAUAAGCCACGGCUAACUCUGUGCCAGCAGCCGCGGUAAGACAGAGGUGGCAAGCGUUGUUCGGAAUUACUGGGCUUAAAGGGCGCGUAGGCGGUGGAGUAAGUCUGAGGUGGAAGAUUAGGGCUUAACCCUAAAAUUGCCUUGGAAACUGCAUCACUUGAGUCAGCGAGGGGAUGGCGGAAUUCCAGGUGUAGCGGUGAAAUGCGUAGAUAUCUGGAGGAAGGCCGGUGGCGAAGGCGGCCAUCUGGCGCUGAACUGACGCUGAGGCGCGAAAGCGUGGGGAGCAAACAGGAUUAGAUACCCGANUANUC